RNAcentral lists this non-coding RNA (113 nucleotides) under Pteropus vampyrus (large flying fox). Lineage: Eukaryota; Metazoa; Chordata; Mammalia; Chiroptera; Pteropodidae. The record is from RNAcentral.
GUGUUGUAUGAAAGUACUCCCCUUGACAGGGUGAAAGAGAUACUUAAGCUUCCAAAACAUAUACAUGGUUAGGACAUUGCCACCUAUUUCGUGGCAUCUAACCAUGUUUGUUU